This 263-nucleotide ribosomal RNA is filed under the name uncultured bacterium. Its description in RNAcentral is "partial 16S ribosomal RNA". It matches the Rfam family "Bacterial small subunit ribosomal RNA", at positions 96 to 354 of the family's 1533-position model. The record is from RNAcentral.
UGGCGAACGGGUGAGUAACACGUGGGCAACCUGCCCAAAAGAGGGGGAUAACACUUGGAAACAGGUGCUAAUACCGCAUAACCAUAGUUACCGCAUGGUAACUAUGUAAAAGGUGGCUAUGCUACCGCUUUUGGAUGGGCCCGCGGCGCAUUAGCUAGUUGGUGGGGUAAGGCUUACCAAGGCAAUGAUGCGUAGCCGAACUGAGAGGUUGAUCGGCCACAUUGGGACUGAGACACGGCCCAAACUCCUACGGGAGGCAGCAG